GUCUCGAUAGCUAAGUGGUAUAGCAUGCGAUUGCAGUGGACUUGUCACCCAUCGCAGGGUCCGGUGUUCGAACCACCGUCGGGACU
RNAcentral lists this transfer RNA (86 nucleotides) under Hypholoma sublateritium FD-334 SS-4. It matches the Rfam family "tRNA". Rfam says of the family: Transfer RNA (tRNA) molecules are approximately 80 nucleotides in length. Their secondary structure includes four short double-helical elements and three loops (D, anti-codon, and T loops). Lineage: Eukaryota; Fungi; Basidiomycota; Agaricomycetes; Agaricales; Strophariaceae. The record is from Rfam by way of RNAcentral.